UUCGCAAUGCCCGAAAGGGUGACGAAGCGACGCCGCGUGAGUGAGGAAGGCCUUCGGGUUGUAAAGCUCUGUCAGGAGUUAAGAAAUAUAAGUGUGCUAAUACCACAUUUAUUUGACAAAGGCUCCAAAGGAAGCCACGGCUAACUCUGUGCCAGCAGCCGCGGUAACACAGAGGUGGCAAGCGUUGUUCGGAAUUAUUGGGCGUAAAGAGCACGUAGGUGGGUUUGUAAGUCAGAUGUGAAAGCCUUCUGUUCAACGGAAGAAUUGCAUCUGAAACUGCGAGUCUUGAGUGUAGGAGGGGAGAAUGGAACUUCUGGUGGAGCGGUGAAAUGCGUAGAUAUCAGAAGGAACGCCGGCGGCGAAAGCGAUUCUCUGGCCUAUUACUGACACUCAGUGUGCGAAAGCUAGGGGAGCAAACGGGAUUAGAUACCCCGGUAGUCCUAGCUGUAAACGAUGGGCACUAAGUAGAGGGGCUUU
RNAcentral lists this ribosomal RNA (477 nucleotides) under uncultured Candidatus Scalindua sp. RNAcentral describes it as "bacterial SSU rRNA". It matches the Rfam family "Bacterial small subunit ribosomal RNA", at positions 365 to 832 of the family's 1533-position model. Lineage: Bacteria; Pseudomonadati; Planctomycetota; Candidatus Brocadiia; Candidatus Brocadiales; Candidatus Scalinduaceae. The record is from RNAcentral.